RNAcentral lists this ribosomal RNA (433 nucleotides) under uncultured bacterium. Its description in RNAcentral is "partial 16S ribosomal RNA". It matches the Rfam family "Bacterial small subunit ribosomal RNA", at positions 29 to 507 of the family's 1533-position model. The record is from RNAcentral.
AACGAACGCUGGCGGCAUGCCUAACACAUGCAAGUCGAACGAGACCUUCGGGUCUAGUGGCGCUCGGGUGCGUAACGCGUGGGAACCUGCCCUUAGGUUCGGAAUAACUCCCCGAAAGGGGUGCUAAUACCGGAUAAUGUCUUCGGACCAAAGAUUUAUCGCCUUUGGAUGGGCCCGUGUUGGAUUAGCUAGUUGGUAGGGUAAAAGCCUACCAAGGCGACGAUCCAUAGCUGGCCUGAGAGGAUGAUCAGCCACACUGGGACUGAGACACGGCCCAGACUCCUACGGGAGGCAGCAGUGGGGAAUAUUGGACAAUGGGCGAAAGCCUGAUCCAGCAAUGCCGCGUGAGUGAUGAAGGCCUUAGGGUUGUAAAGCUCUUUUACCCGGGAUGAUAAUGACAGUACCGGGAGAAUAAGCUCCGGCUAACUCCGUG